Molecule: long non-coding RNA, 701 nt
Organism: Solea senegalensis (Senegalese sole)
Lineage: Eukaryota; Metazoa; Chordata; Actinopteri; Pleuronectiformes; Soleidae
Exons: 3
Source: RefSeq, a predicted model, not a curated record
UAAUUGUCUUAUUGUUUUAUCCGUGUGCCCUUGUAUUGCAGUUGUUGUUUUAAAUGUGAGUUUAAUGUGUGUAAUCUCCUCUGCAGGUCACAAUUAUAGCCGCUGGUGUUUGGACUGCAGUCACAGUGAAGGUUUUGGAAACUUUCAGCGUGUCCUCCUCUCUGCUGGCUCCGGUGUUUGGCCUGCCUCUUCAGUAUGACUGGGACCCCCACCGUCAGGUUGAAGCUGGUCCAGAGCUGUACUGGAGGCCUGUGUGGUUGCUGUGGAAAUGCCAUGUCUUGCCCACUGAAUAGUCAUGAUGAGUCCUGUGACACAGCCUGCCUUGCCACCCUUGAGAUUCGGUUCAAGCCCCUGCACCUUGGCCUGGGAGGUUUUUGUCCAGUAUGGUGACGCCUGUGCCCUCUUGUCCCAGAGUGGCGUCAUUCACAAUGGCAACAGUUGCCACAGCAACCUGUUAGUACCAGAUACUAGGUAUAUGUGGACAAAAAGGACUUGAAAUAGACUCAGAACUUCAAGUCUUGAUAAAUGUGAGUGGUGUUCUUCUGAAGCUCACCAGCAAAAACACUGAGAACACUGAGGUGAGCGCAAAUAUCAAAUUGUUGCUGUAUUUGUGUGUUGUUGUUGUUGUUGUUGUUUAAUUGUAGUGUCAUAAUAAGUGGUUCUAUCAUCAGCACUUAUAAAUAAAUAUUAUAAUAAAUAAA